RNAcentral lists this ribosomal RNA (765 nucleotides) under uncultured Methylococcaceae bacterium. RNAcentral describes it as "bacterial SSU rRNA". It matches the Rfam family "Bacterial small subunit ribosomal RNA", at positions 77 to 839 of the family's 1533-position model. Lineage: Bacteria; Pseudomonadati; Pseudomonadota; Gammaproteobacteria; Methylococcales; Methylococcaceae. The record is from RNAcentral.
CCUUCGGGCGCCGACGAGUGGCGGACGGGUGAGUAACGCGUAGGAAUCUGCCUCAUAGUGGGGGACAACGUGGGGAAACUCACGCUAAUACCGCAUACGCCCUACGGGGGAAAGCGGGGGACCUUCGGGCCUCGCGCUAUGAGAUGAGCCUGCGUUAGAUUAGCUAGUUGGUGGGGUAAAGGCCUACCAAGGCGACGAUCUAUAGCUGGUCUGAGAGGACGAUCAGCCACACUGGGACUGAGACACGGCCCAGACUCCUACGGGAGGCAGCAGUGGGGAAUAUUGGACAAUGGGCGCAAGCCUGAUCCAGCAAUACCGCGUGUGUGAAGAAGGCCUGAGGGUUGUAAAGCACUUUCAAUUGGGAGGAAAACCUGCCGGUCAAUACCCGGCAGCUUGACAUUACCUUUAGAAGAAGCACCGGCUAACUCCGUGCCAGCAGCCGCGGUAAUACGGAGGGUGCGAGCGUUAAUCGGAAUUACUGGGCGUAAAGCGUGCGUAGGCGGUUAUUUAAGUCAGAUGUGAAAGCCCCGGGCUUAACCUGGGAACUGCAUUUGAUACUGGGUAACUAGAGUUUAGUAGAGGAGAGUGGAAUUUCAGGUGUAGCGGUGAAAUGCGUAGAGAUCUGAAGGAACACCAGUGGCGAAGGCGACUCUCUGGACUAAAACUGACGCUGAGGUACGAAAGCGUGGGUAGCAAACAGGAUUAGACACCCUGGUAGUCCACGCCGUAAACGAUGUCAACUAGCCGUUGGGCCUUUUAACAGGC